UACGUAGGGGGCAAGCGUUAUCCGGAUUUACUGGGUGUAAAGGGAGCGUAGGUGGUUCGGUAAGUCAGAUGUGAAAGCCCGGGGCUCAACCCCGGGACUGCAUUUGAAACUAUCGUACUAGAGUGCAGGAGAGGUAAGUGGAAUUCCUAGUGUAGCGGUGAAAUGCGUAGAUAUGAGGAGGAACACCAGUGGCGAAGGCCGCUUGCUGGAUUGUAACUGACACUGAGGCUCGAAAGCGUGGGGAGCAAACAGG
This 253-nucleotide ribosomal RNA is filed under the name uncultured bacterium. Its description in RNAcentral is "partial 16S ribosomal RNA". It matches the Rfam family "Bacterial small subunit ribosomal RNA", at positions 524 to 776 of the family's 1533-position model. The record is from RNAcentral.